AGAUUGAACGCUGGCGGAAUGCUUUACACAUGCAAGUCGAACGGCAGCACGGGGGCAACCCUGGUGGCGAGUGGCGAACGGGUGAGUAACACAUCGGAACGUGCCCAGUCGUGGGGGAUAACGUAGCGAAAGCUACGCUAAUACCGCAUACGAACUCUGGUUGAAAGCGGGGGACCUGCAAGGGCCUCGCGCGAUUGGAGCGGCCGAUGGCAGAUUAGGUAGUUGGUGGGGUAAAGGCUCACCAAGCCGACGAUCUGUAGCUGGUCUGAGAGGACGACCAGCCACACUGGGACUGAGACACGGCCCAGACUCCUACGGGAGGCAGCAGUGGGAAUAUUGGACAAUGGGCGCAAGCCUGAUCCAGCCAUGCCGCGUGAGUGAAGAAGGCCCUAGGGUUGUAAAGCUCUUUCAGCGGGGACGAUAAUGAC
RNAcentral lists this ribosomal RNA (428 nucleotides) under uncultured soil bacterium. RNAcentral's name for it is "bacterial SSU rRNA". It matches the Rfam family "Bacterial small subunit ribosomal RNA", at positions 26 to 455 of the family's 1533-position model. The record is from RNAcentral.